GAUGAACGCUGGCGGCGUGCCUAAUACAUGCAAGUCGAGCGAACAGACGAGGAGCUUGCUCCUCUGACGUUAGCGGCCGACGGGUGAGUAACACGUGGAUAACCUACCUAUAAGACUGGGAUAACUUCGGGAAACCGGAGCUAAUACCGGAUAAUAUAUUGAACCCCAUGGUUCAAUAGUGAAAGACGGUUUUGCUGUCACUUAUAGAUGGAUCCGCGCCGCAUUAGCUAGUUGGUAAGGUAACGGCUUACCAAGGCGACGAUGCGUAGCCGACCUGAGAGGGUGAUCGGCCACACUGGAACUGAGACACGGUCCAGACUCCGACGGGAGGCAGCAGUAGGGAAUCUUCCGCAAUGGGCGAAAGCCUGACGGAGCAACGCCGCGUGAGUGAUGAAGGUCUUCGGAUCGUAAAACUCUGUUAUUAGGGAAGAACAAAUGUGUAAGUAACUAUGCACGUCUUGACGGUACCUAAUCAGAAGGCCACGGCUAACUACGUG
This 497-nucleotide ribosomal RNA is filed under the name uncultured bacterium. Its description in RNAcentral is "partial 16S ribosomal RNA". It matches the Rfam family "Bacterial small subunit ribosomal RNA", at positions 28 to 507 of the family's 1533-position model. The record is from RNAcentral.